CACUCCUACGGGAGGCAGCAGUGGGGAAUAUUGCACAAUGGGCGGAAGCCUGAUGCAGCAACGCCGCGUGCGGGAUGACGGCCUUCGGGUUGUAAACCGCUUUCGCCUGUGACGAAGCGUGAGUGACGGUAAUGGGUAAAGAAGCACCGGCUAACUACGUGCCAGCAGCCGCGGUGAUACGUAGGGUGCGAGCGUUGUCCGGAUUUAUUGGGCGUAAAGGGCUCGUAGGUGGUUGAUCGCGUCGGAAGUGUAAUCUUGGGGCUUAACCCUGAGCGUGCUUUCGAUACGGGUUGACUUGAGGAAGGUAGGGGAGAAUGGAAUUCCUGGUGGAGCGGUGGAAUGCGCAGAUAUCAGGAGGAACACCAGUGGCGAAGGCGGUUCUCUGGGCCUUUCCUGACGCUGAGGAGCGAAAGCGUGGGGAGCGAACAGGCUUAGAAACCCUAGUAGUCCCAU
RNAcentral lists this ribosomal RNA (453 nucleotides) under uncultured organism. Its description in RNAcentral is "partial 16S ribosomal RNA". It matches the Rfam family "Bacterial small subunit ribosomal RNA", at positions 334 to 798 of the family's 1533-position model. The record is from RNAcentral.